UACGAAGGGGACUAGCGUUGUUCGGAAUUACUGGGCGUAAAGCGCACGUAGGCGGAUUUGUAAGUCAGGGGUGAAAUCCCGGGGCUCAACCUCGGAACUGCCUUUGAUACUGCAAAUCUCGAGUCCGAUAGAGGUGGGUGGAACUGCGAGUGUAGAGGUGAAAUUCGUAGAUAUUCGCAAGAACACCAGUGGCGAAGGCGGCUCACUGGCCCGGUACUGACGCUGAGGUGCGAAAGCGUGGGGAGCAAACAGG
RNAcentral lists this ribosomal RNA (253 nucleotides) under uncultured bacterium. RNAcentral describes it as "partial 16S ribosomal RNA". It matches the Rfam family "Bacterial small subunit ribosomal RNA", at positions 524 to 776 of the family's 1533-position model. The record is from RNAcentral.